GUUUGAUCCUGGCUCAGGACGAACGCUGGCGGCGUGCCUAAUACAUGCAAGUAGAACGCUGAAGAGAGGAGCUUGCUCUUCUUGGAUGAGUUGCGAACGGGUGAGUAACGCGUAGGUAACCUGCCUUGUAGCGGGGGAUAACUAUUGGAAACGAUAGCUAAUACCGCAUAACAAUGGAUGACACAUGUCAUUUAUUUGAAAGGGGCAAUUGCUCCACUACAAGAUGGACCUGCGUUGUAUUAGCUAGUAGGUGAGGUAACGGCUCACCUAGGCGACGAUACAUAGCCGACCUGAGAGGGUGAUCGGCCACACUGGGACUGAGACACGGCCCAGACUCCUACGGGAGGCAGCAGUAGGGAAUCUUCGGCAAUGGGGGCAACCCUGACCGAGCAACGCCGCGUGAGUGAAGAAGGUUUUCGGAUCGUAAAGCUCUGUUGUAAGUCAAGAACGAGUGUGAGAGUGGAAAUUUC
RNAcentral lists this ribosomal RNA (470 nucleotides) under uncultured Streptococcus sp. Its description in RNAcentral is "bacterial SSU rRNA". It matches the Rfam family "Bacterial small subunit ribosomal RNA", at positions 11 to 465 of the family's 1533-position model. Lineage: Bacteria; Bacillati; Bacillota; Bacilli; Lactobacillales; Streptococcaceae. The record is from RNAcentral.